This 293-nucleotide ribosomal RNA is filed under the name uncultured bacterium. Its description in RNAcentral is "partial 16S ribosomal RNA". It matches the Rfam family "Archaeal small subunit ribosomal RNA", at positions 455 to 747 of the family's 1478-position model. The record is from RNAcentral.
GUGCCAGCCGCCGCGGUAAUACCGGCAGCCCGAGUGAUGACCGAUCUUAUUGGGCCUAAAGCGUCCGUAGCUGGCUACGCAAGUCCGUCGGGAAAUCCACUCGCCCAACGAGUGGGCGUCCGACGGAAACUGCAUAGCUUGGGACCGGAAGGCUCGAAGGGUACGUGCGGGGUAGGAGUGAAAUCCCAUAAUCCCGCACGGACCACCGAUGGUGAAAGCGCCUCGGGAAGACGGACCCGACAGUGAGGGACGAAAGCUGGGAUCUCGAACCGGAUUAGAUACCCCAGUAGUCC